UUUCUGUAGGUGAACAUGCGGAGGGAUCAUUA
This 32-nucleotide ribosomal RNA is filed under the name Cladosporium sp. NJP19. Its description in RNAcentral is "partial 18S ribosomal RNA". The record is from RNAcentral. Lineage: Eukaryota; Fungi; Ascomycota; Dothideomycetes; Cladosporiales; Cladosporiaceae.